Molecule: long non-coding RNA, 2051 nt
Organism: Cyprinus carpio carpio
Lineage: Eukaryota; Metazoa; Chordata; Actinopteri; Cypriniformes; Cyprinidae
Source: Ensembl
GUAGAAGCUUUGGGUGUAUUUGCCGACUCUACUAGGCCUGUUGUUGUUCUCACUGCAUUUCCUGUUGUAGCUAUCCUGAUUGUUUCCGGUUCAUUGCUAAUAGUUGCUGAUGUGGUUGUGCCCAGUGCAGUUGCUGGCAAUACUGAUGUCACCUGUCCAAAUGUAGAAGCUUUGGGUGUAGUAGGAGACUCUAUUAAGCCUGUUGUUGUUGUCACUGUGUCUUCUGUUGUAGUUAUCCUGAUUGUUUCCUGUUCAUUGCUAAGAGUUGCUGAUGUGGUUGGGCCCAAUGCAGUUGCUGGCAAAGCUGAUGUUACUGGUGCAAAUGUAGAAGCUUUGGUUGUAGUAGCAGACUCUACUAGGCCUGUUGUCAUUGUCAAUGUAUCUUCUGUUGUAGUUAUUCUGAUUGUUUCCGGCUCAUUGCUACCAGUUGCUGAUGUGGUUGUGCCCAAUGCAGUUGCUGGCAAUGCUGAUGUUACUUGUAGAAAUGUAGAAGCUUUGGGUGUAGUAGCCGACUCUACUAGGCCUGUUGUUGUUGUCACUGUAUUUCCUGUUGUAGCUAUCCUGAUUGUUUCCGGUUCAUUGCUAACAGUUGCUGAUGUGGUUGUGCCCAAUGCAGUUGCUGGCAAAACUGAUGUUACCGGUGCAAAUGUAGAAGUUUUUGCUGUAGAAGCAGACACUAUUCGGCCUGUUGAUGUUGUCACUGUAUUUUCUGUUGUAGUUAUACUGAUUGUUUCCGGUACAUUGCUAACAGUUGCUGAUGUGGUUGUGCCCAAUGCAGUUGCUGGCAAAGCUGAUGUCACUGGUAAAAAUGUAGAAGCUUUGGGUCUAGUAGCAGACUCUACUAGACCUGUUGUUGUUGUCACUGUAUCUUCUGUUGUAGUUAUCCUGAUAGUUUCUGGCUCAUUGCUAACAGUUGCUGGUGUGGUUGUGCCCAAUGCAGUUGCUGGCAAUGCUGAUUUCACCGGUACCAAGGUAGAAGCUUUGGUUGUAGUAGCAGACUCUACUAGGCCUGUUGUCAUUGUCAAUGUAUCUUCUGUUGUAGUUAUUCUGAUUGUUUCCGGUACAUUGCUAACAGUUGCUGAUGUGGUUGUGCCCAAUGCAGUUGCUGGCAAAGCUGAUGUCACUGGUAAAAAUGUAGAAGCUUUGGGUCUAGUAGCAGACUCUACUAGACCUGUUGUUGUUGUCACUGUAUCUUCUGUUGUAGUUAUCCUGAUAGUUUCUGGCUCAUUGCUAACAGUUGCUGGUGUGGUUGUGCCCAAUGCAGUUGCUGGCAAUGCUGAUUUCACCGGUACCAAGGUAGAAGCUUUGGGUGUAGUAGCAGACUCUACUAGGCCUGUUGUUGUUGUCUCUGUAUUUUCUGUUGCAGUUAUCCUGAUUGUUUCCAGUCCAUUGCUAACAGUUGCUGAUGUGGUUGUGCCCAAUGCAGAUGCUGGCAAAGCUGAUGUUACUGGUGCAAAUGUAGAAGUUUUUGCUGUAGUAGCAGACACUAUUUGGCCUGUUGAUGCUGUCACUGUAUUUCCGGUUGUAGCUAUCCUGAUUGUUUCCGAUUCAUUGCUAACAGUUGCUGAUGUGGUUGUGCCCAAUGCAGUUGCUGGCAAUGCUGAUGUUACCUGUGCAAAUGUAGAAUCGUUGGGUGUAGUAGCAGACUCUACUAAGCCUGUUGUUGUUGUUGUCACUGAAUCUUCUGUUGUACUUAUCCUGAUUGUUUCCGAUUCAUUGCUAACAGUUGCUGAUGUGGUUGUGCCCAGUGCAGUUGCUGGCAAUACUGAUGUUACUGGUGCAAAUGUAGAAGUUUUUGCUGUAGUAGCAGACACUAAUAGGCCUGUUGAUGUUGUCGCUGUAUUUUCUGUUGUAGUUGUCCUGAUUGUUUCAAGUCCAUUGCUAACAGUUGCUGAUGUGGUUGUGCCCAAUGCAGUUGCAUGUAAAACAGAUGUCACUGGUACAAAUGUAGAAGCUUUGGGUGUACUAGCAGACUGUACUACACCUGUUGUUGUCACUGUAUCUUCUGUUGGAGUUAUCUUGAUUGUUUCCAGUCCAUUGCUAACAGUUGC